RNAcentral lists this ribosomal RNA (750 nucleotides) under uncultured bacterium. RNAcentral describes it as "bacterial SSU rRNA". It matches the Rfam family "Bacterial small subunit ribosomal RNA", at positions 61 to 821 of the family's 1533-position model. The record is from RNAcentral.
GUCGAACGGUGUCUUCGGACAUAGUGGCGCACGGGUGCGUAACACGUAUGCAACCUACCUUACAUUGGGGGAUAGCCUUUCGAAAGGGAGAUUAAUACCGCAUAAGACAGUAGCUGGGCAUCCAGCAGCUGUUAAAGAUUUAUCGAUGUAAGAUGGGCAUGCGUCCAAUUAGUUAGUUGGUGAGGUAACGGCUCACCAAGACUUUGAUUGGUAGGGGAACUGAGAGGUCAAUCCCCCACACUGGCACUGAGAUACGGGCCAGACUCCUACGGGAGGCAGCAGUAGGGAAUAUUGGGCAAUGGACGCAAGUCUGACCCAGCCAUGCCGCGUGCAGGAUGAAGGCGUUAUGCGUUGUAAACUGCUUUUAUACAGGAAGAAACGACUCUUGCGAGAGGCAUUGACGGUACUGUAUGAAUAAGCACCGGCUAACUCCGUGCCAGCAGCCGCGGUAAUACGGAGGGUGCAAGCGUUGUCCGGAUUUAUUGGGUUUAAAGGGUGCGCAGGUGGUUUAUUAAGUCAGUGGUGAAAGACGGUCGCUCAACGAUUGCAGUGCCAUUGAAACUGGUAGACUUGAGUAAAGUAGAGGUGGGCGGAAUUGAUAGUGUAGCGGUGAAAUGCAUAGAUAUUAUCAAGAACUCCAAUUGCGUAGGCAGCUCACUUGGCUUUUACUGACACUCAUGCACGAAAGUGUGGGUAUCAAACAGGAUUAGAUACCCUGGUAGUCCACACUGUAAACGAUGAUAACUAGGU